GGGGCUGACUUGGUUUCGACAUCUAAAAUUUAAUAAAGUAUGAGGCAGGUCGAAGUUUGUACUCUUCGUAAAAAUCUACAAAUUUAAAGUAAAUGCAAAUAAUAUAAUUCUUUUUAAAUUUAAAGUAAUGAAUAAUAUUGUACGUUUCGGUAGAUCUCAAAGUAAUUUAAAUUUAUUAAACUUUGCGUCUUAAUACCAAAAUAAAUAUUAUUAACUAUAUUAGUUCACUAUAACUAGACGUUCUUCUUUUUUAUAGUUUAGAAUAAUCUUAAUAUUCUUAAAUGUUCAUAUUAUUGAACUAAACCUGUGAAAGAGUACUUUAAUGAAAUCUAGAUGGACGUGGGUUCGAGUCCCAUCAGCUCCA
RNAcentral lists this transfer-messenger RNA (364 nucleotides) under Biddulphiella tridens. RNAcentral describes it as "Biddulphia tridens SsrA". It matches the Rfam family "transfer-messenger RNA". Rfam says of the family: Bacterial tmRNA, also known as 10Sa RNA or SsrA, is named for its dual tRNA and mRNA-like properties. Its role is to liberate the mRNA from a stalled ribosome. The record is from RNAcentral. Lineage: Eukaryota; Bacillariophyta; Biddulphiophyceae; Biddulphiales; Biddulphiaceae.